RNAcentral lists this long non-coding RNA (576 nucleotides) under Coffea arabica (coffee). RNAcentral describes it as "long non-coding RNA (CARA_LNC005938)". Lineage: Eukaryota; Viridiplantae; Streptophyta; Magnoliopsida; Gentianales; Rubiaceae. The record is from RNAcentral.
UUUUUUUUCCUUUUCCCCUGCCUAUCCGGCCUUAUAUCCGGCCAUAAACUGGCCGGAUUCUAGGCCGGAUUCCAGGCAGUGGUUUUCCAAAAUUUCCUGCUUUCAUUUUUAAAACCGGCGAUUGUACACAUACACCAAAUAACGAAUCCAAGACUUGGUGAACCAUACAUACAUGUCAUCUAUACAUAAGAAAGUGUCCUUAUACAAUUCAAACACAAACACUUGAGUUCAAAUACAUCGAAGUUUCAAAUGUUCGAGGAGCUUUCAAAACUAACUAUGUCACUAGCUCAACUCAUCUCAAACUGUGGUUCAACAUCGCUCCUGUAAGGAAAACAAAACAACGGGGGUGAGCUUACGCUCGUGAGGUACCAAAUGCACAAUUUCAUGCUACAACUAUUAACACAUAUACAUAAACACCUUCAUACAACAUACACAUAUAAAAGGAUACAUGCGACCCUCAAGGGCCGAUUUCCGAUUGCCAUACUUGAUCUCACACGUUGACACUCCGUCAACCAUUUAAACAAACCAAGAUCCGUAGACACCACUUCGCACCAUUUCCUUCCACCAUUCACCCCC